Non-coding RNA from Shewanella algae, 99 nucleotides. Lineage: Bacteria; Pseudomonadati; Pseudomonadota; Gammaproteobacteria; Alteromonadales; Shewanellaceae. The record is from Rfam.
AGAUAGCCAACCCUGUCGGAUCUCAACAUUAGCGCACGGCUCAACCAUGAGCCAUUCCCCUAGGCCCAAAACAAUUGGAAUAGUUUUGGGCCUUUUUUU